UUAAAUGGCCGCGGUAUUUUGACCGUGCUAAGGUAGCAUAAUCAUUAGUUUUUUAAUUGAAAGCUGGAAUGAAGGGUUGGAUGAAAAAAUAACUGUCUCAAAUUUAUUUAAUUAGAAUUUUAUUUUUAAGUUAAAAAGCUUAAAUAUUUUUAAAAGACGAGAAGACCCUAUAGAGUUUAAUAAUAAUUAAUUAUUUAAAUUUAGUAUUUAAAUUUUUAUAGUAAUAUUUUUAUUUAAUUGGGGUGAUUAAAAAAUUUAAUGAACUUUUUUUAUAUUUUUAUAUUAAUUGAUAUAUAAAUGAUCCUAAAUUUUAGAUUAUAAGAAAAAAUUACCUUAGGGAUAACAGCGUAAUUUUAUUUUAGAGUU
RNAcentral lists this ribosomal RNA (366 nucleotides) under Argopistes sp. BMNH 846608. RNAcentral's name for it is "partial 16S ribosomal RNA". The record is from RNAcentral. Lineage: Eukaryota; Metazoa; Arthropoda; Insecta; Coleoptera; Chrysomelidae.